This 402-nucleotide ribosomal RNA is filed under the name uncultured bacterium. RNAcentral's name for it is "bacterial SSU rRNA". It matches the Rfam family "Bacterial small subunit ribosomal RNA", at positions 355 to 774 of the family's 1533-position model. The record is from RNAcentral.
UGGGGAAUAUUGCACAAUGGGCGAAAGCCUGAUGCAGCAACGCCGCGUGAGUGAUGAAGGCCUUCGGGUUGUAAAGCUCUGUCUUCUGGGACGAUAAUGACGGUACCAGAGGAGGAAGCCACGGCUAACUACGUGCCAGCAGCCGCGGUAAUACGUAGGUGGCAAGCGUUGUCCGGAUUUACUGGGCGUAAAGGAUGCGUAGGCGGAUACUUAAGUCAGAUGUGAAAAUCCCGGGCUUAACUUGGGAACUGCAUUUGAAACUGGGUAUCUAGAGUGCGGGAGAGGAAAGUGGAAUUCCUAGUGUAGCGGUGAAAUGCGUAGAGAUUUGGAAGAACACCAGUGGCGAAGGCGACUUUCUGGACCGUAACUGACGCUGAGGCAUGAAAGCGUGGGGAGCAAACA